RNAcentral lists this ribosomal RNA (440 nucleotides) under uncultured bacterium. RNAcentral describes it as "partial 16S ribosomal RNA". It matches the Rfam family "Bacterial small subunit ribosomal RNA", at positions 338 to 795 of the family's 1533-position model. The record is from RNAcentral.
CCUACGGGAGGCAGCAGUAGGGAAUAUUGCUCAAUGGGGGAAACCCUGAAGCAGCAACGCCGCGUGGAGGAUGAAGGUUUUAGGAUUGUAAACUCCUUUUGUUAUAGAAGAUUAUGACUGUAUCUAACGAAUAAGCACCGUAUAACUCCGUACCAGCAGCCGCGGUAAUACGGAGGGAGCAAGCGUUAUCCGGAAUCACUGGGCGUAAAGAGUGCGUAGGCGGGGUAAUAAGUCAGAUGUGAAAUCCUGUAGCUUAACUACAGAACUGCAUUUGAAACUGUGACUCUUGAGUGUAGGAGAGGUAGGUGGAAUUCUUGGGGUAGGGGUAAAAUGCGUAGAGAUCAAGAGGAAUACUCAUUGCGAAGGCGACCCGCUGGAACAUUACUGACGCUGAUGCACGAAAGCGUGGGGAGCAAACAGGAUUAGAUACCCCGGUAGUC